UACGUAGGGGGCUAGCGUUGUCCGGAUUUAUUGGGCGUAAAGAGCGUGUAGGCGGCCAGGUAGGUCCGUUGUGAAAACUCGAGGCUCAACCUCGAGACGUCGGCGGAAACCCUCUGGCUAGAGUCCGGAAGAGGAGAGUGGAAUUCCUGGUGUAGCGGUGAAAUGCGCAGAUAUCAGGAAGAACACCCGUGGCGAAGGCGGCUCUCUGGGACGGUACUGACGCUGAGGUGCGAAAGCGUGGGGAGCGAACAGG
This 253-nucleotide ribosomal RNA is filed under the name uncultured bacterium. Its description in RNAcentral is "partial 16S ribosomal RNA". It matches the Rfam family "Bacterial small subunit ribosomal RNA", at positions 524 to 776 of the family's 1533-position model. The record is from RNAcentral.